This 413-nucleotide long non-coding RNA is filed under the name Cimex lectularius (bed bug). RNAcentral's name for it is "uncharacterized LOC106666602, transcript variant X1". Lineage: Eukaryota; Metazoa; Arthropoda; Insecta; Hemiptera; Cimicidae. The record is from RNAcentral.
CCAGCCACCAUGCCGCUUCCUUCUAUUGCUUCCUUUACACCAAUUUGAAUUUAUGCCGUCUUCAAAUAGACGAUGGUUCCUUGAAUAUUCCGAGUUUUUAUCGAGUUUUCUUUCCUCGCUUUUAUUUUGUGACUGGUCAAUAAAACCUUGAGCCUGGAGCUAGGAAACAACGUAUGGAGAUAGCAGCCAUUUCUGCUUCGAGCGCGCCAUUGACUUAAGACAAGAAACAGAAAUCCUCUCGCCAGAAAAAAACCGAGAUCCUGCUGCCAAGUCCACCGCCGCACGCCUGUUCGAUGAAUGCCAGUAGUUGACUUGGUGGUAGCGGGAAUAAAGAAGAAAUGAGUGCGUCGUGCUUUGCUGAAAUAUGAAGUGACUUCGACUGCCACAUGACUGCGUGGGAUGCCGCAGAUAAG